AUUUUUGUUUCUUUUGGUUGUUGGAGAUUUGUCUAUUUUGUAUGUUAAAGUGAAGAUCUCUGUAGUGUUUUGCAGAGUUUUUUUGGGGGGUGGAACUGUGAAACAAAGAAUUGAAGGAAAAAGGAGUACAGAAGAAGAGGAAGCAGAAAAUUUGUGUUCUUGGAGUGUCCGUUAGUGAUGAUUGGUCACAAGAUGUGUGGACUAUAUAUGAAGAUUUUGUUUGUAUUUGCAGUUUUUGCUGUUCAAAAUUGCCAGGGGUUUACUGAUCCUCGUGAUGUAUUUGCCAUAAAUAGUUUAUAUACUAGUCUGGGCUACCCCUUG
Molecule: unclassified non-coding RNA, 321 nt
Filed under: Hevea brasiliensis (rubber tree)
Lineage: Eukaryota; Viridiplantae; Streptophyta; Magnoliopsida; Malpighiales; Euphorbiaceae
Source: RNAcentral